Molecule: ribosomal RNA, 300 nt
Filed under: uncultured Tangfeifania sp.
Lineage: Bacteria; Pseudomonadati; Bacteroidota; Bacteroidia; Marinilabiliales; Prolixibacteraceae
Description: bacterial SSU rRNA
Rfam family: Bacterial small subunit ribosomal RNA
Source: RNAcentral
GCUAACUCCGUGCCAGCAGCCGCGGUAAUACGGAGGAUGCAAGCGUUAUCCGGAUUUAUUGGGUUUAAAGGGUGCGCAGGCGGGCUUGUAAGUCAGCGGUGAAAUACUGUCGCUUAACGAUAGGAUUGCCAUUGAUACUGCUUGUCUUGAGUUUGGUUGAGGUAUGCGGAAUGUGCAGUGUAGCGGUGAAAUGCAUAGAUAUUGCACAGAACACCAAUUGCGAAGGCAGCAUACUAAGCCAAAACUGACGCUGAGGCACGAAAGCGUGGGGAGCGAACAGGAUUAGAUACCCCUGUAGUC